This 87-nucleotide transfer RNA is filed under the name Gammaproteobacteria bacterium. Its description in RNAcentral is "tRNA-Leu". It matches the Rfam family "tRNA". From Rfam's summary of the family: Transfer RNA (tRNA) molecules are approximately 80 nucleotides in length. Their secondary structure includes four short double-helical elements and three loops (D, anti-codon, and T loops). Further hydrogen bonds mediate the characteristic L-shaped molecular structure. tRNAs have two regions of fundamental functional importance: the anti-codon, which is responsible for specific mRNA codon recognition, and the 3' end, to which the tRNAs corresponding amino acid is attached (by aminoacyl-tRNA synthetases). tRNAs cope with the degeneracy of the genetic code in two manners: having more than one tRNA (with a specific anti-codon) for a particular amino acid; and 'wobble' base-pairing, i.e. permitting non-standard base-pairing at the 3rd anti-codon position. RNAcentral also lists the same sequence under 1 other name. Lineage: Bacteria; Pseudomonadati; Pseudomonadota; Gammaproteobacteria. The record is from RNAcentral.
GCCAGAGUGGCGAAAUUGGUAGACGCAGGGGAUUCAAAAUCCCCCGCCCGCAAGGGUGUGCCGGUUCGAGUCCGGCCUCUGGUACCA